UGUGUGUCUGUAAGUGUGUGUGAGUGUGUGUGUGUGUGUGUGUCUGUGAAUGUAUGUGUAUGUGUCUGUAAGUGUGUGUGUCUGUAAGUGUGUGUACAUUCACAGACACACACACACUCACUCAGACACACACACACACACACACUCACAGACACACACA
This is a non-coding RNA of Pelobates cultripes (western spadefoot toad), 160 nucleotides long. NCBI's taxonomy places the organism in Eukaryota, Metazoa, Chordata, Amphibia, Anura, Pelobatidae. The record is from the annotation of a GenBank genome assembly.